GACGAACGCUGGCGGCGUGCUUAACACAUGCAAGUCGAACGGAAAGGCCCUGCUUUUGUGGGGUGCUCGAGUGGCGAACGGGUGAGUAACACGUGAGUAACCUGCCCUUGACUUUGGGAUAACUUCAGGAAACUGGGGCUAAUACCGGAUAGGAGCUCCUGCUGCAUGGUGGGGGUUGGAAAGUUUCGGCGGUUGGGGAUGGACUCGCGGCUUAUCAGCUUGUUAGUGGGGUAGUGGCUUACCAAGGCUUUGACGGGUAGCCGGCCUGAGAGGGUGACCGGCCACAUUGGGACUGAGAUACGGCCCAGACUCCUACGGGAGGCAGCAGUGGGGAAUAUUGCACAAUGGGCGGAAGCCUGAUGCAGCAACGCCGCGUGCGGGAUGACGGCCUUCGGGUUGUAAACCGCUUUCGCCUGUGACGAAGCGUGAGUGACAGUAAUGGGUAAAGAAGCACCGGCUAACUACGUG
RNAcentral lists this ribosomal RNA (468 nucleotides) under uncultured bacterium. RNAcentral's name for it is "partial 16S ribosomal RNA". It matches the Rfam family "Bacterial small subunit ribosomal RNA", at positions 28 to 507 of the family's 1533-position model. The record is from RNAcentral.